This 492-nucleotide ribosomal RNA is filed under the name uncultured bacterium. RNAcentral describes it as "partial 16S ribosomal RNA". It matches the Rfam family "Bacterial small subunit ribosomal RNA", at positions 29 to 507 of the family's 1533-position model. The record is from RNAcentral.
AGUGAACGCUGGCGGUAGGCCUAACACAUGCAAGUCGAACGGCAGCACAGUAAGAGCUUGCUCUUACGGGUGGCGAGUGGCGGACGGGUGAGGAAUACAUCGGAAUCUACUUUUUCGUGGGGGAUAGCGUAGGGAAACUUACGCUAAUACCGCAUACGACCUACGGGUGAAAGCAGGGGAUCUUCGGACCUUGCGCGAUUGAAUGAGCCGAUGUCGGAUUAGCUAGUUGGCGGGGUAAAGGCCCACCAAGGCGACGAUCCGUAGCUGGUCUGAGAGGAUGAUCAGCCACACUGGAACUGAGACACGGUCCAGAAUCCUACGGGAGGCAGCAGUGGGGAAUAUUGGACAAUGGGCGCAAGCCUGAUCCAGCCAUACCGCGUGGGUGAAGAAGGCCUUCGGGUUGUAAAGCCCUUUUGUUGGGAAAGAAAAGCAGCAGGUUAAUACCCCGCUGUUCUGACGGUACCCAAAGAAUAAGCACCGGCUAACUUCGUG